Molecule: non-coding RNA, 702 nt
Organism: Malus domestica (apple)
Lineage: Eukaryota; Viridiplantae; Streptophyta; Magnoliopsida; Rosales; Rosaceae
Source: RefSeq, a predicted model, not a curated record
GAAUUUGAGUUUUUAUUAUUUAUCAAUUCUAUCACAUAGAUUACGAUUUCACAUAUGGGAUUAUUAAUGGCAAUUAGAUGAUAGAAGAAUUGGGAUUGGAAGAAGAUAUUGAGUUGUUUAUUUAUGGGGAUUAGAAAAUGAUUAUCAUACGAGUGAUAUUUAUUUUUGUGUGGAUUGUUAAUAUAUAAAACUAUAAGCUUUUGAGAUUGGGAGACAAAACCCACACAUUCAAAUCAGACAAAAUAAAUAAAAAAUUUAACUGACUUAAAGAUCAAACUCCAAAAGGGUAUUAAAAACAAGGCUUAUUUGAUCCAUUGAGUGUGAAAGUUUUGAGCUUUGAAGAAGCAGAGGAGGAGAGUUGUUAACCAAGCUGCAUUAUCCAUGUAUUAGGAUGUUGAAGGUAGGCAGGAAAAUUACUUUUUGACGCCAUAUCCAGAGGAGCAUAACGACAGGCCUGCAUUUUUGCAGCAAUGACCAAAACAAGUAGAAGUGAAGGCUUGACUGUUUGGCAAAAGUCACACUUUGAAGAGUUCACGCUGCAUAGAAAGACGAUGAAAUGCUAUCUGUUGAGUCCAUCAUUGCUCCAUUGGAGACAGAGCUGAAGCUUGAUGCAGGUAACCAAGUUGCAGGAUGAAAACAGAACACUUGAUCUGCAGGUAAACCUCCAAUUUCCAUAUGAAGUUUGCAUUUUCGUUAUUUCUG